AGUAGCGGAGACUACAGGCACCUGCCACUGCGCCUGGCUAAUUUUUUGUAUUUUUAGUAGAGAUGGGGUUUCACCGUGUUAGCCAGGAUGGUCUUGAUCUCCUGACCUCGUGAUCCGCCUGCCUCGGCCUCCCAAAGUGCUGGGAUUACAGGUGUGAGCCACCGUGCCUGGCCUGGAAAACAUUAAAAAAAAAACAAAAACAGAAGGAAAAGGGUGUUUGAGCCAAGAGGAAACUUCCCCUUUGCCCUCUGAAGUUUUGCUGAAAAAUCAACUGACAAAAGGCAAAUUAAUUGGAGAUAGGCUAUAUAAAUGUAUUUAAUAUUGCCUAAUAAAAAAGCCCCACCAGCUCUUUUCAGAGGUUGAGUCAGGGAAUUCUCUGUCUGUCUCGUGCUGCCUCCAUUAUGCCUGGACAUAAACUCCAAUGAAGCCUUGUCUGGGGAAACUAUUUUGGCCUCAUGUCAAUUCCUACUGCAUUGAGAGCCCCAAAACUCGUGGUCAGUAACAUAUUCUUUGGGGACUCAUCCAAGAUCACAGGACGUGGAGAGCCUUUCUCUAUCUGAGAGGGUGACUUGUGAGGUGACGGGACUGCUGGAAAAGAUCCCUUUAUGGCUGACAAGCAGCUGCCUGAAGUUUUGAUUCAGUGUCACCGCAAUGGGUGAGUCUUUCUCCAGCCUCCUGGAACUCCUCACCUUCCCCACACAGACGAUGCCUUUCUCCCUUCCCUUUCCUCCCUCUGUCUCCUUUCCUCUUCCUAUCUUUUCUGUCACUCAGGGCGCUUUGCCUCUCCUCUCCUAAUCCUUACUGGUUUGGGUUGCUUGAAUAGACAUCUAUGAGGGACGGGUUGAAACAGCCUCCCUAGUUUACUGGUCUGGGUCACCUGAAUAGCCACCCAUGCAGGAAGGAUGAAAACAGUUGACUAUCCAGGUCUGAUUAACUCAGCCGGCAUUGGGACAGGUCACAUCCCUCCCUGGCCUAAGUUGUUGUUGGCUCAAAUCCCAAGAAAAAAAUUCUCUCUCUCUCUUUUCCUCUCUCCCUCUCUGGCACCCUGAACUUUGAUCCUGUAACUAUUUGAAACCCCUCAUUAUGUCACUUCCCUAGGCCUGUAAUCUUUUAGAGUUUCUGUCUGUACAAAUGUAUAGUCCUGUCGGUUUGGGGAGACUGCCUGAGACACAGUGCUGGGGACGCCCAUCUAGUCUUCAGGAAGGCACCAGGGAUGCCUGGGUGCGACUGCCAGUAUUGGUUCUCUGCAUAACAGGAAAAGUUCAGAGUUCAAAUGGUUAACCUGCAACUAUAGAGAUAAGUAAACUUAACUUCAUAAAUUUAAAUUUGAGAGGCUUUCGCCUAUGGUUCCAUAAAACAGAAAAGAUGAUUUUCUUUUGUAGGCAUCUUGGCCCCCACAGGUAUGGCACAGAGAGCAGGGUCACCUGAGCCAUUCAGAGAAAGAUAACCCAAACCUCUGGCAUGCCUGUAAAAGGGAGCAUGACCUUGUUACCAUAUGGGGAUACUCUCUCGUGGUCUCUUCCAUCCAGAGGGCAGGAAUUAUCAGGUUCAUAUCAGGAGGCCAGUCUGAAAGGACCAGGAGGUUGAGAUGAGUCAGCACACUCUUGGUCCGAAGGUGUCAAGGCCUGGGAGAUGACCUAAGGUAAUUUCUGACAGCCUGGGACUUCUUGGGAGAAACAUGGGAGGUGCCACCGACCCUGUUUUGGGAGAAAAUUUUGUUGUCCUCGUGGAACCCCA
RNAcentral lists this long non-coding RNA (1737 nucleotides) under Homo sapiens (human). Its description in RNAcentral is "HSALNT0211228". Lineage: Eukaryota; Metazoa; Chordata; Mammalia; Primates; Hominidae. The record is from RNAcentral.